This 995-nucleotide long non-coding RNA is filed under the name Lathyrus oleraceus (garden pea). RNAcentral's name for it is "Pisum sativum (pea) long non-coding RNA (PSAT_LNC038475)". The record is from RNAcentral. Lineage: Eukaryota; Viridiplantae; Streptophyta; Magnoliopsida; Fabales; Fabaceae.
AAAAAGAAUGCUGCAUUGAAACUGAUUAAUGACAAUAAAUAUAUAAUUAACAAAUCCUUCUCUCCCUCCUUCCAAAUAAACUCGGUUGUCUCUCUCUCUCUUAUACCAAGCACGCAUUCUUUCUCUCUCUCUUGCCAAGCGUGAAAAAACAAAAAAAAAUCCAGAUCCUCAUUGUUCAGAUCUCAAAUCGUUCAUGCAACAAAGAUAUAUAUCUCAACCAAACUCCAUCAAAUGAAACAUACCUCAGAAUCCAUGAACACACACAAACAAGCAUAUGCAAAUCAAUACUCAUAUCCUAUUUUGAACCCUGACACCCCAUUUCCAAUACUUUGUCUUUGUUUACAAACUACAAAUGUGAGAGAACAUUAAACCAACAAGACUAUUGAGAGAGAAAAAUAUAUCAAGCUAAUAAAAUGCUACCAAGAUGAAGAUUAAAGAGUUUCGGGGUCUCUAGGUACUUGCUGCUCUCUCUAUCUCCCUUUCUUCUCUGGGCUAUCCUCCUUCUCCUUAUGUUAUCCUCUUUUCUGUAAUGUGUUUGUGAGUGCAAUUAGAAAUUUUGGUUUAUAGUUUUGUGAAGGUAGGGUGAAAUUUGUGCAAUAUUUCGUUAUGAUUUUUUUCUUUGUAGGUGAUGUGAAGCUCUAUUUAUAGAGUGAAGAGAGAGUCUUGAAAUCGUGUGAAGAAUUCCUUCACAUGUGUGAGCAUUUGAGAUUUUGGAUAAGGAUUGAGAAAGAAAUUGUUAAGGAAGAGCUUCCAAAUCCCAAAUUUUGUGGGUGUUGUGCGUGAAAAAUUUCCUUCUUUUUCUUCUCAAUGUAAUUUUUGUCUUUUCUAAAUCUGAGCAGAUAUUUUUAGUGUAUUUUUGUAUUUUCUAAAAUGUAAUCUUCUUCUCCUUUUUUUACUGAUGUAACUCUAAGUUAAUUAUUGAAUAUAAUCCUAUUCAUUUCAUUGAUAAAAAACUUGUACUCAUGUAAAUACAAUGCACUCCCACAUGUACAUGU